This 482-nucleotide ribosomal RNA is filed under the name uncultured bacterium. RNAcentral describes it as "partial 16S ribosomal RNA". It matches the Rfam family "Bacterial small subunit ribosomal RNA", at positions 28 to 523 of the family's 1533-position model. The record is from RNAcentral.
GACGAACGCUGGCGGCGUGCUUAACACAUGCAAGUCGAACGAUGAAGAAGAGCUUGCUCUUCGGAUUAGUGGCGAACGGGUGAGUAACACGUGACUAACCUGCCCCUUUCUCUGGGAUAACGCUCCGAAAGGAGUGCUAAUACCGGAUACUCACAUCGAGGCACAUGCCUUGAUGUGGAAAGUUUUUCGGAAAGGGAUGGAGUUGCGGCCUAUCAGCUUGUUGGUGAGGUAACGGCUCACCAAGGCGACGACGGGUAGCCGGCCUGAGAGGGCGACCGGCCACACUGGGACUGAGACACGGCCCAGACUCCUACGGGAGGCAGCAGUGGGGAAUAUUGCACAAUGGGCGAAAGCCUGAUGCAGCGACGCCGCGUGAGGGAUGAAGGUCUUCGGAUUGUAAACCACUUUCAGUAGGGACGAAGCGAAAGUGACGGUACGUGCAGAAGAAGGACCGGCCAACUACGUGCCAGCAGCCGCCGUAA